GUGCUUGUUUUGAUAGCACAUAAACUAAAAUCAGAAUGAUACAGAGAUUAGCAUGGCCUCUGUGCAAGGAUGAUACAAAAAUUCAUGAAGAAUUCCAUAUUAAA
RNAcentral lists this small nuclear RNA (104 nucleotides) under Castor canadensis (American beaver). The record is from RNAcentral. Lineage: Eukaryota; Metazoa; Chordata; Mammalia; Rodentia; Castoridae.